Molecule: ribosomal RNA, 563 nt
Filed under: uncultured Bacilli bacterium
Lineage: Bacteria; Bacillati; Bacillota; Bacilli
Description: bacterial SSU rRNA
Rfam family: Bacterial small subunit ribosomal RNA
Source: RNAcentral
GCGGCCGCAGAGUUUGAUCAUGGCUCAGGACGAACGCUGGCGGCGUGCCUAAUACAUGCAAGUCGAGCGAAUCUUGAGGUGCUUGCACCUCUUGGUUAGCGGCGGACGGGUGAGUAACACGCGGGCAACCUGCCUGUAAGACUGGGAUAACACCGGGAAACCGGUGUUAAUACCGGAUAAUCCUUUCCCUCUCAUGAGGGAAAGCUGAAAGUCGGUUUACGCUGACACUUACAGAUGGGCCCCCGGCGCAUUAGCUAGUUGGUGAGGUAACGGCUCACCAAGGCGACGAUGCGUAGCCGACCUGAGAGGGUGAUCGGCCACACUGGGGCUGAGACACGGCCCAGACUCCUACGGGAGGCAGCAGUAGGGAAUCUUCCGCAAUGGACGAAAGUCUGACGGAGCAACGCCGCGUGAGCGAAGAAGGCCUUCGGGUCGUAAAGCUCUGUUGUUAGGGAAGAACAAGUACGAGAGUAACUGCUCGUACCUUGACGGUACCUAACCAGAAAGCCACGGAUAACCACGUGCCAGCAGCCGCGGUAAUACGUAGGUGGCAAGCGUUGUCC